UUUCAGGUAUCCACGUUGUUUGAUGACCUGCGGGAUGGGUCAUUUUGGCGCCCCAACGUGGGGCACGAGCGAGUUUAGAAGCCUCAGUUCCUGCGCCGCUGGCAUCUGGCUGUAACACCCUGCUGUGACACUGAGCUGUAACACCCUGCUGUGACACUGAGCUGUAACACUGUGCUGUAGCACUCUGCCAUAAACACUGUGCUGUAACACUUAGCUGUAACAUCCAGCCCCUGUGCCUUUGUCGCCUGGAAAGCCUUGAGGUGAUCCUCGCUCAACGCACCCUGAAAACGAGGGAACCCCCUGAGGAAACAGGCAAAUCAUCAAGGACCAGCCGGUGGACUCAUCAAAUGCCCCUACACCGUCGUUGUAGCCUGUGGUGACGAUUAAGUGGAUUCCGGAGCUGAGUGGUUGUCAACGUGACUUCUGAAACGGAGAGAUGGCUAAGAAGUCCCGCACUAAAAAGUUUCUGAUAGAGUUUAAAAAUGUUCCCUUUUCCUUUUGCUGAAGAAGAAGACAGGAAUAUUAAUAAUUAUAGCUUGGGGGUGAGGGGAUUCCCUAUUUUCCCAAAAUAUGAUUCUCAUUGUUUAUCUUAUUCACAUGAGGUUUGGGGAGUGAGGUAUAAUCAUUCUUCUUUUGCAGCAACUACGGUUCUUAUUUCUGUAAGAGGCUUUGGGGGGAAGGUCGGUAAUAUUUCCGAGGCCGCUUCUACCCUGUUAUCUAUUUGCCCACUCCCUAAUGUAGAUCCUGAAGUGCAAUAAUUGGUAUAAACUUGUCGAGGAAAACGGCCUAAGAUAUUGUUAAAUCAUACAGACUUUAAGAUAGUGGACUGGGCCCUCUCAUAAUAUUACUAUUACUCAUUUCAUUAGGGCCUGUGAUAUUUAACAAACUCAUGGCAUUUUUAAAACAGCAAAUUGAAGCUGUUCUAGCGAAGCCUAUUCAAGUGCAUUACCAUCGUUUGGAAAUGUUAGACAAGGGUGGCCCACUCCCCAACUCGCCUGAGUGAUAAGACCCCCUUCCUUUGUGAGCUGGGCUGGACAGUCAGUGACGGGUAAGAUCAGGCACUGUUCAUACCAACCUAAGACAGGCCCUGUUUUGCCAGAAUGUAAUUAAAGGCAUUCCUCGAGACCCAUGACGGGUAAGGAUGAAUCAGUGACCUGACAACCUAAGACAGACGCAGUCCCCUAAAGGAUAUUCCAAACUUCAUUGCACGAAUACUUUGUGCUCGCUAUUAUACA
Long non-coding RNA from Echinops telfairi (small Madagascar hedgehog), 1235 nucleotides. RefSeq lists it as uncharacterized. The transcript has 2 exons. Lineage: Eukaryota; Metazoa; Chordata; Mammalia; Afrosoricida; Tenrecidae. The record is from RefSeq and is a predicted model, not a curated record.